This is a long non-coding RNA of Salvia splendens (bonfire salvia), 855 nucleotides long. RefSeq lists it as uncharacterized. NCBI's taxonomy places the organism in Eukaryota, Viridiplantae, Streptophyta, Magnoliopsida, Lamiales, Lamiaceae. The record is from RefSeq and is a predicted model, not a curated record. The transcript is spliced from 3 exons.
CUCUUUAAACUGUUGUUUGGUUCUCAUGAUGGGUAUCUCACAGCCAGCACUGUUCACACUAAUAUCAUCAGAUUUGUAUCACAAUUUCAACCUCCGUUUAUAAUCAUUCUUUGAUCACUGUGCCAGAUUAAGAUCCCCUUUUCCACUUUGCCCUUGCUUUAUUCACAAUUUCAAAAUUGGAUUUACCAGAUCCGUUCACAUCUCCUCCAUCUCUCUACUUCGUUCAUUUUGGGAACAACACUACAUUUCUCAGAGGAGCUCUUCUUAAAAUUGGUUCAUCCUUGGAACUACGAGUGCACGGAGGAAAUCCGCAGGACGCCGACUAAGACCCAACACCGAAUUUCACCGUCGUCAAAUUGGAGUAUUAUCUCAACGAAACUGACGCAACCAAAUGUCGAUGGUAUUUGAAGAAAUUGACCUGGCUGUGUAUGUAGCCGAGGCAAGAUGAAAUUGCUUUGCGCUGGGAAAGAAGCUAUACAUGCCGGGAGAUACUACUACAAAUGUCCGGCUAGUGCAAAACAUUCAGGGUCUUUUUUAUGGUGUGAUGAAUUCCAUAGUCGGCACGAAGAUGGGAAACAACCAACAUAUGUGAUGACUCAAUCGUAUCAACCUAUGAAGCAAGGGUCCUCUAUAGAUAACGUGAAAAAUAAAAAUGUGUCUUACACUAGUAGUGUUUGUGGAGUUUGUGGUCGUUGUCGUGCUGAAUCCCGUAUGAACUACUUGUUGGUCAUCAUGGGAUUAGUUUUAGUAGAAAAUAAAAAAUAGUUUCGAUCGUAUCCCAGACAUUAAUCUACCGCCAGCCUACUUACAUACACAAAACUAUGUUGAGUAAACUUUUUAUAAUGACUGAUUCCA